UGUGCAGAAUUUCAAGAGGCCGGAGCCUGUGUCUGCCAGGGAGGGGUGGGGUGGGGGGAGACUUUCAAAAUUCAUCGUGCAUAUUGUGGGGGGGCCACGAUUGUGUGCUCAGGAUGAGACCUAGGGGCCAGCCCUGAGGGAGAGCUCAGUGGGCUUGGACAAAAUAUCCUCUUUACCCUCUCAUUACCGGCUAGUGGGGGCCAGGAGAGAAAGAGCCAAGCUUCUAGUGGAGACUCCAAAACAGUCACCAGGAAGAAGUAACAAACUUGGGGACCUUCAGAAGAGCUGUAGUAGAGGUUGAAUUGGCUUUUGGAAACAUCUUGAGGAAGGUGGACCUUGAGCUCCCCUAGAAACUUCUGGAGGCUUCAAAGACAUGGCAACUUAUCAAUUGGGACCUUUAGUUUAUGAUGAGCUUCUGGCUGCUUCUAUUCAUGUGGAAUCCCAGAGCUGAAAGGCCUUGGAAUAUGGGUUUGAUGUAGAAAACCCUGAGCAGUCUCUUGGCCCUUCCUUGGUCCUUGACAGUGGAAGGGGGGAAGCUGCAUCAGUUGAAAGGAGAGAUGGAUUCUGAUUGACUCUUCUUUUGUUUUGACUCUUCUGUGAGGUAAGUAGUGCAUUCUGUCUUUAGGUGCCCUAAAAAGGGGAUGAACUAUACUAUUAUCUCCCCUCCCUCUCCUCUUAUUUAAGGAUGGAGAAUAGACUCAACUAAGUGAAUUUGUGCCUGGAUUCCUGGCUGACUUUUCAACCUUGUUUCCUUUUCUGAGGAGGUGAUUUGAACAUUAGUUUCAAGCAUCCAUGCUUGGAGAUGACCACAUGAGAUAGAGAGGAUCCAGGGUCCUAUAUCUCAUCUGGUAGGGACUGACUUGUGGCAAAGGGAGGAGACCCCCAGAAACUACUCAAGCCUUCCUGGAGAAGAGAACCACCAUCUAGAAGAUUAGCCCAAUCCCUGAUCUUUUUACCAGGAUCCAUGUACUGGGAGUUGUUUGGACAAUGUAGAAUGGAGGUGAAAUAU
Molecule: long non-coding RNA, 1009 nt
Filed under: Monodelphis domestica (gray short-tailed opossum)
Lineage: Eukaryota; Metazoa; Chordata; Mammalia; Didelphimorphia; Didelphidae
Description: lncRNA (ENSMODG00000039740.1)
Source: RNAcentral